RNAcentral lists this ribosomal RNA (468 nucleotides) under uncultured bacterium. RNAcentral describes it as "partial 16S ribosomal RNA". It matches the Rfam family "Bacterial small subunit ribosomal RNA", at positions 28 to 507 of the family's 1533-position model. The record is from RNAcentral.
GACGAACGCUGGCGGCGUGCUUAACACAUGCAAGUCGAACGGAAAGACCCUGCUUUUGUGGGGUGCUCGAGUGGCGAACGGGUGAGUAACACGUGAGUAACCUGCCCUUGACUUUGGGAUAACUUCAGGAAACUGGGGCUAAUACCGGAUAGGAGCUCCUGCUGCAUGGUGGGGGUUGGAAAGUUUCGGCGGUUGGGGAUGGACUCGCGGCUUAUCAGCUUGUUGGUGGGGUAGUGGCUUACCAAGGCUUUGACGGGUAGCCGGCCUGAGAGGGUGACCGGCCACAUUGGGACUGAGAUACGGCCCAGACUCCUACGGGAGGCAGCAGUGGGGAAUAUUGCACAAUGGGCGGAAGCCUGAUGCAGUAACGCCGCGUGCGGGAUGACGGCCUUCGGGUUGUAAACCGCUUUCGCCUGUGACGAAGCGUGAGUGACGGUAAUGGGUAAAGAAGCACCGGCUAACUACGUG